Tetranychus urticae (two-spotted spider mite) is the source of this 444-nucleotide long non-coding RNA. RefSeq lists it as uncharacterized. The record is from RefSeq and is a predicted model, not a curated record. NCBI's taxonomy places the organism in Eukaryota, Metazoa, Arthropoda, Arachnida, Trombidiformes, Tetranychidae.
CAAAUUUGUCCCUCUAGAUAGCAUAACUGUUUUUGGUGAUAUUUUGACAUGCUUUUGGUUUCAAUUUUGGCAUUUAAUUUUGUCUAAAUAAAUUUAAAUUUUAAUCACAUUUGCUUCUUUAUCUCCAAUUGUAAUUAGUAUUUGGAUCUCGUCAAUCUAAAAGACUUUAUCUGCUCAUAAUGUUCCCAUCAAGGAGAGGAGGAAAAUUAGCUGCUUUUUUGAAUCUCUUCAGAUUCUGUUUCCAAUAUGGAUUCAUUCCGAUGGUUCUUUACUUGGGAUUCCAAAAAGGGACUGACGAAGGCAUGCCACCCUUAUCAUUUGCUUCACUAUUCAUUGGAUAAGUGGUUAUUUUAUUCUAUUGGUGCCAUAAUGUUUAUAGUACAUCUCGAUUAUCUGUACCCAGUGAAUUACUGACUAUUAAAAAUGGUCUUGAUUGCAUUUUCU